UGGAUAACCUGCCCUCGGCACCGGAAUAGCCCGGGGAAACUCGGAUUAAUGCCGGAUAGCCCCACAGCCCGCAGGGGCGGUGGGAAAAGGUAGCUUCGGCCUCUGGCCGAGGAUGGGUCCGCGGCGGAUUAGCUAGUUGGUGGGGUAACGCCCACCAAGGCGACGAUCCGUAGCUGGUCUGAGAGGACGAACAGCCACACUGGGACUGAGACACGGCCCAGACUCCGUACGGGAGCAG
Molecule: ribosomal RNA, 238 nt
Filed under: uncultured bacterium
Lineage: Bacteria
Description: partial 16S ribosomal RNA
Rfam family: Bacterial small subunit ribosomal RNA
Source: RNAcentral